AGAGUUUGAUUAUGGCUCAGAACGAACGCCGGCGGCAUGCCUAACACAUGCAAGUCGAACGAAGGCUUCGGCCUUAGUGGCGCACGGGUGCGUAACGCGUGGGAAUCUGCCCUUAGGUUCGGAAUAACAGCUGGAAACGGCUGCUAAUACCGGAUGAUAUCGCGAGAUCAAAGAUUUAUCGCCUGAGGAUGAGCCCGCGUUGGAUUAGGUAGUUGGUGGGGUAAAGGCCUACCAAGCCGACGAUCCAUAGCUGGUCUGAGAGGAUGAUCAGCCACACUGGGACUGAGACACGGCCCAGACUCCUACGGGAGGCAGCAGUGGGGAAUAUUGGACAAUGGGCGAAAGCCUGAUCCAGCAAUGCCGCGUGAGUGAUGAAGGCCCUAGGGUUGUAAAGCUCUUUUACCCGGGAAGAUAAUGACUGUACCGGGAGAAUAAGCCCCGGCUAACUCCGUGCCAGCAGCCGCGGUAAUAAGG
This 474-nucleotide ribosomal RNA is filed under the name uncultured Alphaproteobacteria bacterium. Its description in RNAcentral is "bacterial SSU rRNA". It matches the Rfam family "Bacterial small subunit ribosomal RNA", at positions 8 to 528 of the family's 1533-position model. Lineage: Bacteria; Pseudomonadati; Pseudomonadota; Alphaproteobacteria. The record is from RNAcentral.